UGGGGAAUAUUGCACAAUGGGCGAAAGCCUGAUGCAGCGACGCCGCGUGAGGGAUGACGGCCUUCGGGUUGUAAACCUCUUUCAGCAGGGAAGAAGCGAAAGUGACGGUACCUGCAGAAGAAGCGCCGGCUAACUACGUGCCAGCAGCCGCGGUAAUACGUAGGGCGCAAGCGUUGUCCGGAAUUAUUGGGCGUAAAGAGCUCGUAGGCGGUUAGUCGCGUCUGCUGUGAAAACUCGAGGCUCAACCUCGGGCUUGCAGUGGGUACGGGCUGACUAGAGUGCGGUAGGGGUGACUGGAAUUCCUGGUGUAGCGGUGGAAUGCGCAGAUAUCAGGAGGAACACCGAUGGGCGAAGGCAGGUCACUGGGCCGCAACUGACGCUGAGGAGCGGAAAGCAUGGGGAGCGAACAGGAUUAGAUACCCUGGUAGUCCAUGCCGUAAACGUUGGGCACUAGGUGUGGGGUCCAUUUCCACGGAUUCCGUGCCGCAGCAAAGCGCAUUAAGUGCCCCGCCUGGGGGAGUACGGCCGCAAGGCUAAAACUUAAAUG
RNAcentral lists this ribosomal RNA (547 nucleotides) under uncultured bacterium. RNAcentral describes it as "partial 16S ribosomal RNA". It matches the Rfam family "Bacterial small subunit ribosomal RNA", at positions 355 to 907 of the family's 1533-position model. The record is from RNAcentral.